This 301-nucleotide ribosomal RNA is filed under the name uncultured bacterium. RNAcentral describes it as "partial 16S ribosomal RNA". It matches the Rfam family "Bacterial small subunit ribosomal RNA", at positions 509 to 807 of the family's 1533-position model. The record is from RNAcentral.
CAGUCGCCGCGGUAAUGCGUAGGUGGCAAGCGUUGUCCGGAAUUAUUGGGCGUAAAGGGAGCGUAGGCGGAUGUCUAAGUCAGAGGUGAAAGCCCAGGGCUCAACCUUGGAACUGCCUUUGAUACUGGACAUCUUGAGUGUGGGAGAGGUAAGCGGAACUCCGAGUGUAGAGGUGAAAUUCGUAGAUAUUCGGAAGAACACCAGUGGCGAAGGCGGCUUACUGGCCCAUUACUGACGCUGAGGCUCGAAAGCGUGGGGAGCAAACAGGAUUAGAUACCCCAGUAGUCCCUGUCUCUUAUAC